UAACGUGAGCGUCCUAAGGUAGCGCGAUAAUUUGCUUUUCAAUUGAAGGAUGGUAUGAAAGGGUUAACGAAGAAGGUGCUGUGUCUAAAAAUUCAAUUUAAACUAACUUUAAGGUGAAGAGGCCUUUAUGUAAAAGAAGGACGACAAGACCCUAUGAAGCUUUAUCUUAAUAGGAGCUCUCAGGCUCUUAUACGAUUUUGAUGGGAGAUCAGUAGAAAGAAGUCUUCUACUAUCAUAUUAAUCUUACUAGUAUUUCCUAACUUUAUAUGUGUGGCUAGCUACUCUAGGGAUAACAGCGCAAUUUCUCCCGAAAGAUGGUAUUGGAGGGGAAGAUUGCGACCUCGAUGUUGGCUUUAGAUAUCCUAGAGGCGUAGAAGCUUCU
This 382-nucleotide ribosomal RNA is filed under the name Mytilus galloprovincialis (Mediterranean mussel). RNAcentral's name for it is "partial 16S ribosomal RNA". It matches the Rfam family "Bacterial large subunit ribosomal RNA", at positions 1937 to 2566 of the family's 2925-position model. The record is from RNAcentral. Lineage: Eukaryota; Metazoa; Mollusca; Bivalvia; Mytilida; Mytilidae.